AACGAACGCUGGCGGCAUGCCUAACACAUGCAAGUCGAACGAGACCUUCGGGUCUAGUGGCGCACGGGUGCGUAACGCGUGGGAAUCUGCCCUUGGGUACGGAAUAACAGCGAGAAAUUGCUGCUAAUACCGUAUAAUGACGUAAGUCCAAAGAUUUAUCGCCCAGGGAUGAGCCCGCGUAGGAUUAGCUUGUUGGUGAGGUAAAAGCUCACCAAGGCGACGAUCCUUAGCNGGUCUGAGAGGAUGAUCAGCCACACUGGGACUGAGACACGGCCCAGACUCCUACGGGAGGCAGCAGGUGGGGAAUAUUGGACAAUGGGCGAAAGCCUGAAUCCAGCAAUGCCGCGUGAGUGAUGAAGGCC
Molecule: ribosomal RNA, 362 nt
Filed under: uncultured bacterium
Lineage: Bacteria
Description: bacterial SSU rRNA
Rfam family: Bacterial small subunit ribosomal RNA
Source: RNAcentral